RNAcentral lists this ribosomal RNA (105 nucleotides) under Escherichia coli. Its description in RNAcentral is "partial 16S ribosomal RNA". It matches the Rfam family "Bacterial small subunit ribosomal RNA", at positions 1 to 103 of the family's 1533-position model. The record is from RNAcentral. Lineage: Bacteria; Pseudomonadati; Pseudomonadota; Gammaproteobacteria; Enterobacterales; Enterobacteriaceae.
UUAAAUUGAAGAGUUUGAUCAUGGCUCAGAUUGAACGCUGGCGGCAGGCCUAACACAUGCAAGUCGAACGGUAACAGGAAACAGCUUGCUGCUUCGCUGACGAGU